UACGUAGGGUGCAAGCGUUAAUCGGAAUUACUGGGCGUAAAGCGUGCGCAGGCGGUUUUGUAAGUUUGUCGUGAAAUCCCCGGGCUUAACCUGGGAAUUGCGAUGAAGACUGCAAGGCUAGAAUCUGGCAGAGGGGGGUAGAAUUCCACGUGUAGCAGUGAAAUGCGUAGAGAUGUGGAGGAACACAGAUGGCGAAGGCAGCCCCCUGGGUCAAGAUUGACGCUCAUGCACGAAAGCGUGGGGAGCAAACAGG
This 253-nucleotide ribosomal RNA is filed under the name uncultured bacterium. RNAcentral's name for it is "partial 16S ribosomal RNA". It matches the Rfam family "Bacterial small subunit ribosomal RNA", at positions 524 to 776 of the family's 1533-position model. The record is from RNAcentral.